GUUUUACAGAGUAUAUUGGUGUGAGAAUAAAUAUCACUAAACAUGUUGCUGAUAUAUAAAUUAUAAAUAACUAAAAACUAUAAAAUUGGUCAUCAUAGAUGAUUAUCAUUCAGGAAAUCAUACCACGAGUCAAGCUUUAACAGAUGAGACCAACAGAUAAAGCAGUAUGCUUUUUAAAAGAAAAAAUAGGAUUGAAGUAAAUGCAAAAUCAAUGUACCUAAAAAAAACACAAAUAGGUUGAUACAAAGUAUUUCCCUAUGUACCAUCAAUUCUGUCAAAAAUCAGAAUUUAUACAAUUGUAAAAAAUAUGAAAUCAAUUAGGUUCAUUUUGCAAUUUGGUUCAGUAAAUAGACGGUCAAAGAACUAAAAUAACAUUUUGUCAUAUUUUCAAUAAUACUACACUUCAACCCAAUCUGAGGAAUCAAAUACAAUUUUGAUUUGAUUCUUGAAAAAACCCCACAUAUAUUUGGUAUGGAAGCCAACAAUAAGUAUGUCUACCCUAAUAUUGCCACACAUUUACACAUCAUAAAAAUGCAACGUUUUCUUAGCAAAACAGAAUCAAUAUACACUUAAAGCUCUUGGAGUUUGCAAGACUAAUUCCUGUAAGGUUAGCUCCAAAGAAAACAUUGAACUGCGCCUCUAAGUAUUAUCACAACUAUGUAAACUAGGUAACAAGAAAGUCAUCUGGUAUCUUAUAACAACUAUGAAAAUGUGGACUGUGUAACAAACAAGAGGCUCGCAAGAGCCUCAAUCGCUCACCUGUUAUUUUUUGCUCAAAAUCUUUCCACAAUGACAAUUUUUCUUUUCAAUAUAUAUUAAUGAGUGUCUUAAAAAUUCCAUUUAAAUGUUCUUUGCGUCUGUCAUAUUUUCUUCAAAAGGGGAAAAAAUGCAUUUUACACCCUGUUCCAUUUUAGUGAUACAAUGUAGUAGCUAUGUUUCUUGACGUACAAGGAAAUAAAAUACAAAAUUUAUACUAGAUAUUCUGAAACUCAUUCAGCCUAAUUAAGUUUUGCUGAAACUGAUUAAGCAGUUUUAAAGGAAGCGAACUAGAUGAACAAAUUCAGAAAAAAUGUCUUUAAAGGGCAGUUACUCCUUAAGGUGUUGAUUGACAAUUUUAGUCAUAUCAACUUUUUUGUAGAUCUUUUUGCUGUUUACAGUUUAUCUUUAUCCUUAAUAAUAUUCAAGAUAAUAACUAAAAACUUCCUUAAAAGUACCAAUUAGGGGUAGCAACCUAACAACUGGUUGCCUGAUUGGUCUUAAAAUUUUAGAGAAGAUAGAACUUGACCUUAUGAACAAUUCUAUUCACGUCAGAUUUGCUCUAAAUGCUUUGGUUUCAGAGAUAUGAUCAAAGAACUGCAUUUCAACCCUAUGUUCUAUUUUAGCCAUGGUACACAUGUUUUUUGACGAAACAGAAAAUAAAACAAAAAGAUUAUUCAAGAUACCAUAAGGAUCAUUCAGAGACAUAUAUACACAGGUGUAUAUAUGUCUCUGGAUCAUUCAGCUUAAGUUUGGUAGGAAUUGGUUCAGUAGUUUCAGAGAAGAUGCUUGAAAUAGUUUACACCAGACGGACGACAACAGACAACGAUGGACAUCAAGUGAUGGGCAAAAGUCAUCUGGUAUCCAUUGUCAUACCUUUCUUUAAUUGGUUUUUAUAAUAUUAACCUGUUCCAUUGUGAGAUUGUCAGUGCAGUAUGCACAUUUAAACUGUCAAGAAUGUAUAAUUCUCAUCAUAUAACUGAUAAAAAUUUCAGAUUUUUUAUAUCAAUAAAGGUGAUUCCUAGAAAACACAGCUUAAAGUUACAGAAAAAUGCAAACUGCCUUUGGUUUAUACAAAUGUACAUAUCAAAAUGAAAAUAUAUUUAUAACUGCAAUACACAUUUUCAUAGAAUACUACAAAUUUUCAUUGUCAUGCAUUGCCGUUUUUAUAUUCAAACGGAUGAUUUUUUUAUCUAUGAAACAAGAAAAUUCCAAAUGAUUUGUUUAUAUUGAGUAGCUGGAAGAAAACAUAGAAGAAAGUAAAGAGUUACAUGUAGUUAAAAUGCUGAAACAGUACAGUUCUCUUUUAAAAGAACAGAACAUCAGAAGAUUUAAAACUGUCUUUGAUUAAAAUCACAGUGUACCAUCAAUGGCAUCAUCAGAUUAAACAUACAAUCAUUCCAUAUAAAAUUGUCAUGUCUUGGACAAGUCCAUGUUCCAUUUUUCUAUGAGAUGAUGCAUCUUAAGGAAUGAUGAGAAAUACAAGAAACGAACUUAUGAUGUUAUGGGUUUUUAACACAUGUUUCCUUCCGCAAAAUUAUUUGUACAAAAAACAUUUAAAGGUCAGUUAUACAAAUCCUUGUUUUUUCACAACAGAAAGAGUUAUCAAUUCUUUUAGUGUUUAAUGCAUUUCAUUUCAUAAAAAAAAGAAUACUUUAUUAAUUUUCAGGGAUAAUGUAUAAUUUUUUUCGGGUCGGCGGGAAUAAAAAAAGCAUGAAAAGUCAAUGUUAUUUUUAUUCUGAAAAUCGGCAAAAAUAGGGUCGGCGGAUCCGUAAACCAACAAAUUAAAAAACCCUGGCCUUGAGAAAACUUUUCAUGAUUUUAAGAAAUUUCUAGUAUCAUCAUAAAAUAUUUUUUGCUAUCCUACUUGAUUGUGUAUGUGUACAAACAAUCUACUUUGUAAAUGUAUCGGGCAAUAAGUUUGUACAUAAAAUUUGUUGUAUGUUUUGCAUUGAUAGAAGGUACAUGGCAUUCAAUGUACAGUUCGAAAACAUAUAUCAUAAAUGGAAAAUAAAAUAAAUGGUGAUGUAAAAAGAUAACACUUUAUUCUGGCACACAGACAUUUACUCUGAAAUGCCAGUAACUCUUUGUCUUUGUAACUAAUAUCAGAAAUAUAUCAACCACAAAUCCAGAAAAAAUUAAAAUAAUGUAAUAUUGAAAGCAAUAAGCAUUCUUAAGUCAAAGCCAAUACAUCUAAGCACUCAGUUACUGUGUUGACAAUUAAGUGUAACAGUCUUUGACAUAGCCGUGGAACCCUAGCUCUUAGGUCCUUAUAAUACUUUUUGACAAUUUGCUUCCUUGCAAAACCAUAGCUCUUUGGUCCUUAUGAUAUUUUUUGACAAUUGGUCUGCAAAUUGUCAAAAAAAUAUCAUUAGGACCUAAGAGCUUCUACAUUUCUGCCUCUAUCUUUGACCUUGGUUCCCCUUUUUAUAAAUAAUAUGCUUUUAUUAAUGUCUUUAAUUGUUAAAUACAUUCAGAAAAUUCUUUCCUUGAAAGCUGACAAUAAACUUUUUAGGGUAAAAAUAGAUACAAUUUUUACAUAAAUAUAUAUGAUUGUAGUGACCACAAAAAAUACAAGAUGAUUUAUGCAGCUUGAAAGCACUAACAAAUAUGUGAUUUGCUUUAUAAC
This 3385-nucleotide long non-coding RNA is filed under the name Mytilus galloprovincialis (Mediterranean mussel). The record is from RNAcentral. Lineage: Eukaryota; Metazoa; Mollusca; Bivalvia; Mytilida; Mytilidae.